UACGUAGGGGGCUAGCGUUGUCCGGAAUCAUUGGGCGUAAAGCGCGCGUAGGCGGCCCGGCAAGUCCGCUGUAAAAGUCAACAGCUCAACUGUUGAAUGCCGGUGGAAACUGCCGGGCUAGAGUCCGGAAGAGGCGAGUGGAAUUCCUGGUGUAGCGGUGGAAUGCGCAGAUAUCAGGAGGAACACCAAUAGCGAAGGCAGCUCGCUGGGACGGUACUGACGCUAAGGCGCGAAAGCGUGGGGAGCGAACAGGAUUAGAUACCCUGGUAGUCCACGCCGUAAACGAUGGGCACUAGGUGUGGGAGGUGUCGACUCCUCCCGUGCCGCCGCUAACGCAUUAAGUGCCCCGCCUGGGGAGUACGGCCGCAAGGCUAAA
Molecule: ribosomal RNA, 376 nt
Filed under: uncultured bacterium
Lineage: Bacteria
Description: bacterial SSU rRNA
Rfam family: Bacterial small subunit ribosomal RNA
Source: RNAcentral